AUUGAACGCUGGCGGCAUGCCUUACACAUGCAAGUCGAACGGCAGCACGGGAGCAAUCCUGGUGGCGAGUGGCGAACGGGUGAGUAAUACAUCGGAACGUGCCCUGUAGUGGGGGAUAACCGGCGAAAGACCGGACUAAUACCGCAUGAGACCUGAGGGUGAAAGCGGGGAGUCGCAAGACCUCGCGCUAUGGGAGCGGCCGAUGUCAGAUUAGCUAGNGGUGGGGUAAAGGCCUACCAAGGCGACGAUCUGUAGCUGGUCUGAGAGGACGACCAGCCACACUGGGACUGAGACACGGCCCAGACUCCUACGGGAGGCAGCAGUGGGGAAUUUUGGACAAUGGGCGCAAGCCUGAUCCAGCCAUGCCGCGUGC
This 373-nucleotide ribosomal RNA is filed under the name uncultured bacterium. RNAcentral's name for it is "bacterial SSU rRNA". It matches the Rfam family "Bacterial small subunit ribosomal RNA", at positions 29 to 404 of the family's 1533-position model. The record is from RNAcentral.